RNAcentral lists this ribosomal RNA (274 nucleotides) under uncultured bacterium. RNAcentral's name for it is "partial 16S ribosomal RNA". It matches the Rfam family "Bacterial small subunit ribosomal RNA", at positions 523 to 796 of the family's 1533-position model. The record is from RNAcentral.
AGACGGAGGGAGCGAGCGUUGCUCGGAAUCACUGGGCGUAAAGGGCGUGUAGGCGGGACAGCAAGUCGGGUGUGAAAGCCCUGGGCUCAACCCAGGAAGUGCAUUCGAAACUACUGUUCUUGAGUAUGGCAGAGGAGAGCGGAAUUCCCGGUGUAGCGGUGAAAUGCGUAGAUAUCGGGAGGAACAUCUGUGGCGAAGGCGGCUCUCUGGGUCACAACUGACGCUGAGGCGCGAAAGCUAGGGGAGCAAACGGGAUUAGAAACCCCAGUAGUCC